RNAcentral lists this ribosomal RNA (241 nucleotides) under uncultured bacterium. RNAcentral describes it as "partial small subunit ribosomal RNA". It matches the Rfam family "Bacterial small subunit ribosomal RNA", at positions 26 to 285 of the family's 1533-position model. The record is from RNAcentral.
AGAAUCAACGCUGGCGGCGUGCCUAACACAUGCAAGUCGAACGAGAAAGUGGAGCAAUCCAUGAGUAAAGUGGCGACCGGGUGAGUAACACGUGACUAACCUACAUUCAAGUGGGGGAUAACCUCGGGAAACCGAGGCUAAUACCGCAUAAUAUCGCAAGAUCAAAGCAGCAAUGCGCUGGAAGAGGGGGUCGCGGCUGAUUAGCUAGUUGGCGGGUAACGCCACAAGGCGAAGAUCGGUA